UACGUAGGGCGCGAGCGUUGUCCGGAAUCAUUGGGCGUAAAGAGCUCGUAGGCGGCCGGUUGCGUCUGCUGUGAAAUCCCGGGGCUUAACCCCGGGCGUGCAGUGGAUACGGGCUGGCUGGAGGCAGGCAGGGGAGAAUGGAAUUCCCGGUGUAGCGGUGAAAUGCGCAGAUAUCAGGAGGAACACCGGUGGCGAAGGCGGGUCUCUGGGCCGAAAUUGACGCUGAGGAGCGAAAGCGUGGGGAGCAAACAGG
RNAcentral lists this ribosomal RNA (253 nucleotides) under uncultured bacterium. RNAcentral describes it as "partial 16S ribosomal RNA". It matches the Rfam family "Bacterial small subunit ribosomal RNA", at positions 524 to 776 of the family's 1533-position model. The record is from RNAcentral.